This 253-nucleotide ribosomal RNA is filed under the name uncultured bacterium. RNAcentral's name for it is "partial 16S ribosomal RNA". It matches the Rfam family "Bacterial small subunit ribosomal RNA", at positions 524 to 776 of the family's 1533-position model. The record is from RNAcentral.
UACGAAGGGGACUAGCGUUGUUCGGAAUUACUGGGCGUAAAGCGCACGUAGGCGGAUUUGUUAGUCAGGGGUGAAAUCCUGGAGCUCAACUCCAGAACUGCCUUUGAUACUGAAGAUCUUGAGUUCGGGAGAGGUGAGUGGAACUGCGAGUGUAGAGGUGAAAUUCGUAGAUAUUCGCAAGAACACCAGUGGCGAAGGCGGCUCACUGGCCCGAUACUGACGCUGAGGCACGAAAGCGUGGGGAGCAAACAGG